UCUCAACCUCAUUCUCAGCACCAGAUGUAGUGCCUGGAGCAUCUGAAGAGGGACUAAGAGAUUCCGUCCUCACCCCAGCUCUAAAGAUGCCUCCACCAUGAGAAAGAGACAGGGAGUCCCUGACACUUUCUGCUCCCACCUUGGAAGACAGGGGAGGAGGAAGGCUCCAGCGUCUUCCAUCACUGCUGCAGACACCAACCAACCCCCUGCCCUUCUCCCUGCUCCUCUGCUUCAACUCUCUCCUGGGCCCCCACCCCAAACAGCCCUCUGUUCCGCUUUAGAUGUUAGCUGCACUUCACCUGUAAAACACCUUUCUUUGCCAAAUUUGUCAAAAAUUUUGGCAUAGUGUUUGCAUAAAUUUGCAGGUAGGAUUCCAGAGACCCUGACUCCGAUGGUGUAAGAGAAAAAAUCAUGCCUGCACUUGCAGUCAAAGGAGGCUUUCAGGAGGGCACACUGGAUUUGCUACACAGGGCUGGGAGAGGCACUCAGUUUGUGAGGCUGGGAUGCCCUGACAGGAGCUUCCCCUCGAUCGAGGAAAUCGGAACUUUUUCAAUGUUGGCUUCAAAUCGUGGCUAAUAGGCAGAAAAAAAGCUCUUCUCACCAUGAGGGAAGACUGGGGAGGUGGGAAGGGGGACAGGGCCCAUCUAUUCCAUCCAAGAGGGGUCAAGGAAGGACAGUGGCAAGCUCAAGUCUGGAGCUGUUUCCUCCCCAUAGUGAAAGUCUGGUAACUUUACCCAGAAGUUCUGAUUUUUCUAGUUAGCCAAACAGGGCUCUGAUUUCCAAGAUUAGGUUAAAUCCAGAAGAGUUUGGGGGAUGAAGGAAUCUGGAUGAACAAUGGGAGGUGGAACCAUUGCCCCACCAUCAGCAACACCUUAACAGGAACAAACUCCUCUGCCCACUCGUCAUAUCCACAGUUUCAGAGAAGAGAAUGUCCCAGCUAGAAAAGCAAGUGGACAAGUGCCAACCCGAUGAGGCCACUGAAUUAUGCAGAAAGAUGACGCACAGAGAAGUGGCAGCCUGCUCCAGUUCCCGUAAUUAAAGAUUACAGUCAGGAUUGGAGCCCGAGGUCCUAACACCCAGUGCUCUCUCCACACUACCGUGGUGCCCGACUCAUACUUCUGCCACGACCACCCUCUCCAUUUCUGGCCCUGUUUGAAACCCCUAAUUCUCACUGAAAACAAUAAAUCCUCCAAAAUUAAGACAACACUUUCACACACAGUAGAGCAAAUGGGUGGAUGAGAACAAAUUUAUCCACAGCAGAGACAAUACAGGCACUCUGUGGUUCCCGUUAGGUUAAAGUUGAGCCCCCUAGAGACACCCCCACCUUUGUUUCUCAUGUGAACCCCUCUGAGUCAAAUAGUAACAACAGCAGUUGCUGUGAAUGGAAGUUAUAACAUUGAACUCCUGACUCUUGAAAAGUGUACAUUGUAUAGUGAACACUGUAACAGUGAGCCAGCAAAGGAGUUUUUCUGCUGCUGAGUCCAUCAGGAAAGUCACUGGGAUGUAAGCUGAGAAAGGGAGAGGGUGAGGUUUCAGAGAAAUAAGGGAGUCAUUUAAAAAUACGUUUGUUUAGUUUGUUUUUAACGGUUACAGAACAAUAGACAAUAGAGCCAGGUGUCUCAGUGACAUCUCUCAAGCUUUCCCAAGGUGUAACAUGACUGACAGCCCAUUCUGUUGAGACCACCGGUACCCAGGAGAGACAGGGAGAGAAAGAGACCACCUAGAAUAGUGUCAUCUGUGCAAAUAAGAACAUUAAAACAGAUGGGUGGAGGGAGCCAAUGAAUUCAAGACUUAUUCAAGUUUAAGUGAAAACAAGUCAUACAAAGUUGAGAUAAAAUAUAGAACAGAGUUAGAUUUAUUUUUACUGCUUUUAUUAUCUAGGUCACAAAAAAUAUAAAUGAAAUGUAAACUACACAUCCAAAGGUAUGCAUGAUACAUAAAAUUAACUGGCAUGUGGCCAACUGUGAUUUUCUUGCAAAUAUUUUCCUUAGGGGUUAAUGUUUUUAAAAUACAUCUUGCAAAUCUAUGUGAAAAACUUUAACAUCCAGUGGAAAUGUGGACAGUGUUCUUGAACAGAAAAUCACAGAAAUUAAAAUAUUGUUGAAAGUUAAAUGUUCCCCUUGUAAAAAAGGAAAGAAAAAAUAAAAAGAAAUGACCAUCAAUUUUAAAAGGACAUUUAAUGCCAAGAAAGUAAUCCCUGAAUCCCAAAGGGCAAAGAACAUCCCCAUAAAUAGAAUAUACUUAGCUCUAUGAAACUCACCACUCUGUUCUUAUUUUUCUCAUUUCACUGCUAACCAGUGACUGAAGUCAGUCUGGGUCACUAUUCGAACUACUGACCUAGAAAGUUCUGAGUGCAUAGAUAAGUAAACCUGUGCAAAUGGACGGAGGGGUCCUAAUCCACAUAAACACCCAGGAUUGCUGGGAUAGCAAAGGAAUUUGUCAUCAGUGCAUUUGUCUGGUGGCUCUGAGGCCUCGUGGGAGAAACAGAAGACAUUGGGACUACCCGCCCCACUUCUGGACCCUAGGACGAAGAGGCUCUAUCAAAAGACCUUGUUGAUAUCAUGGCGGGAAGGGAAGCUGCCCAUGAAAGCAGGUGUCAUGAGAAGAACACUCUGCCCUGGAGGGCAGCAAGCUGUCAAGGCUGACGGCCCGACCCCACGUGCCCUAAGGAGAACUGCCAGUGGCUCUGGUCACUUCACACAGGUUGUGGCAGUGGCUGCAGCCCACCAGCCACAUGGGCGACAGCAGGGUCCCUGAAACCGCGAAUGACUAAACGGGAGACGGUCCUUGCAGGAGGACCUUGCAUAAGACCCUCUCCACCAGAGCAGCCUCCCUCCACCUCUCUGAACACAAUGCCCCCAUCUAGGAUAAGCCAGAUGCCUCACAGGUGCGCUGGCAGCUCACAGAGCAGAAGCAGGAGGCUCUGAGGCUGCCCAGGACUUCCCCAGGCUCCCCACUCGGAGGUGGCUGUGCCUUUUUCUGCAGGAAUCGUAGACUCAGGGCAAGCUGGAUCUGCAUUUCUCCAAGGACUUCCUCCUUGGGACCCCAGACCCCAUAAGAGUCCUGUUCUUCAAUUACAGCAGUGAGAAUUCUGGCAAGAUGAAGACUCCCAAACCCCAAGUUACUGCUCGAGCUAACUGGGCCCUCGCCGUGUGUCAGGCCCUGCGUUAGAAGCACACACUGUACAUCACCUCAUUCCAUCACCGCAUGUGACACCGUGAGCUGUCUGCUGCUCUCAUUUUGCAGUUGAAGGCCUUGAGGCUAGACGACCUUAGAGAACAUCCCUAAGGUCACACAGUCAGUGGUCAAGCUGGGAUUCAGGCCCAGGUCUGCCUACACCAAAAGCCCCCGUGUUAGGUAUACUACACUCCCAGAAAGAGUAGCUGAAUGCAAUAUAUAUAUAUAUAUAUAUAUAUAUAUAGCCUGAAUGCACACCAGAAAGGGAAUGAUUACAUAAAUUUUAAGAUACCCACAUGGACACAAAGAAGGGAACAGACACUGAGGCCUACUUGAGGGUAGAGGGUGGGAGGACGAUGAGGAUUCAAAAACUGCUUAUCGAGCACUAUGCUUUUUACCCGGGGGAUAAAGUGAUCUGUACACCAAACCCCUAGGACGCACAAUGUACCUAUAUAACAAACCUGCACAUGUACCCCUGAGCCUAAAAUAAAAGUUUAAAAUAAAAUAAAAUAUAUAAAACUAAAUUGUACAAUACCCAUACUAUGUAACUGUAUGUAGCUAUUAUAAAUAAAUCAGCUAGAUUUACUUGUAUUAACCUAGAAACUUUCUAUGUCAU
This 3793-nucleotide long non-coding RNA is filed under the name Homo sapiens (human). RNAcentral describes it as "HSALNT0184386". Lineage: Eukaryota; Metazoa; Chordata; Mammalia; Primates; Hominidae. The record is from RNAcentral.